This 309-nucleotide ribosomal RNA is filed under the name uncultured bacterium. RNAcentral describes it as "bacterial SSU rRNA". It matches the Rfam family "Bacterial small subunit ribosomal RNA", at positions 28 to 329 of the family's 1533-position model. The record is from RNAcentral.
GACGAACGCUGACGGUGUGCUUUAGACAUGCAAGUCGAACGAGAAAGCCCUUCGGGGUGAGUACAGUGGCGAACGGGUGAGUAACACGUGGGCAAUCUGCCCCUCGAAGGGGGAUAACCGGGGGAAACCCCGGCUAAUACCCCGUACGCUUGCGGAGCCGCAUGGCUCUGCAAGGAGAGGUAGCUUCGGCCAAUCCGGCGAGGGAUGAGCCCGCGGUACAUUAGCUAGUUGGUGAGGUAACGGCNCAACCAAGCGACGAUGUAUAGCUGGUCUGAGAGGAUGAUCAGCCACACUGGGACUGAGACACGG